AUCUUCCACAAUGGGCGAAAGCCUGAUGGAGCAACGCCGCGUGAGUGAAGAAGGUUUUCGGAUCGUAUAACUCUGUUGUAAGGGAAGAACAAGUACAGUAGUAACUGGCUGUACCUUGACGGUACCUUAUUAGAAAGCCACGGCUAACUACGUGCCAGCAGCCGCGGUAAUACUUAGGUGUCAAGCGUUGUCCGGAAUUAUUGGGCGGAAAGCGCGCGCAAGCGGUCCUUUAAGUCUGGUGUUAAAGCCCACGGGCUAACCGUGGGAGGUCAUUGGAAACUGGGGGACUUGAGUGCAGAAGAGGAAAGUGGAAUUCCAAGUGUAGCGGUGAAAUGCGUAGAGAUUUGGAGGAACACCAGUGGCGAAGGCGACUUUCUGGUCUGUAACUGACGCUGAGGCGCGAAAGCGUGGGGAGCAAACA
RNAcentral lists this ribosomal RNA (421 nucleotides) under uncultured bacterium. RNAcentral's name for it is "partial 16S ribosomal RNA". It matches the Rfam family "Bacterial small subunit ribosomal RNA", at positions 361 to 774 of the family's 1533-position model. The record is from RNAcentral.